RNAcentral lists this ribosomal RNA (400 nucleotides) under uncultured fungus. RNAcentral's name for it is "SSU rRNA". It matches the Rfam family "Eukaryotic small subunit ribosomal RNA", at positions 556 to 961 of the family's 1831-position model. The record is from RNAcentral. Lineage: Eukaryota; Fungi.
GCAGUCUGGUGCCAGCAGCCGCGGUAAUUCCAGCUCCAAUAGCGUAUAUUAAAGUUGUUGCAGUUAAAAAGCUCGUAGUUGAACCUUGGGCCUGGCCGGCCGGUCCGCCUCACCGCGUGCACUGGCUCGGCUGGGUCUUUCCUUCUGGAGAACCGCAUGCCCUUCACUGGGUGUGCCGGGGAACCAGGACUUUUACUCUGAACAAAUUAGAUCGCUUAAAGAAGGCCUAUGCUCGAAUAGUCUAGCAUGGAAUAAUAGAAUAGGACGUGCGGUCCUAUUUUGUUGGUUUCUAGGACCGCCGUAAUGAUUAAUAGGGACAGUCGGGGGCAUCAGUAUUCAAUUGUCAGAGGUGAAAUUCUUGGAUUUAUUGAAGACUAACUACUGCGAAAGCAUUUGCCAA